AUUAUAGCCCCUAUUUAUGGGGUAAAUCAAAUUACAGAACUUAAAAUUGUUUCUGCAAACGUUCCAGGUUUAAUGACUGGUUUAUGAUAAAAUAGUUGGAAUGUUUUUUUCCCCUGACCAUCCUGCUGUCUUGAGGAUUUGGUCCAUUGGUACAUCCAACUGCAUAGCUGCUGAUGUAGCUGCAGCCCUGGUGGAAUGAGAUUUUAAAAUAUUAUUAUGCACCCCAGCCUGUAUUAGAACCUGUUUCAGCCAUCUUGAGAUGGUCUGGACCGUCACUUUUUUGUGUGGUUGCUUGUGGCUGAUUAAAAGUGCCUUCUCAUUGCCUCUGAUGAUAUUCGUGUUCUCCAUGUAUAACAACAAAUGUCUUACUAUACAGAGACGAUCAUCUGUUGGGUAAGACCUAAAUUCUAUAUUGAGGCCUGCUGAUCCCUGUCUGUUCUGCUUAACUAAUUCAUAAAUAUGAAACGUAAUAUUUCCAGAUGAAGAAGUCAUGUUGUCCAGUCUUAAUUUAUGUAACGACUGUACCCUUUGUGCCGUGACCAAAGCCAUUAUCAUGACUGUUUUUAAUGUCAGUCUAUGUAGGGACAGAGCUGUUGCUGGAGACCAAUUCCUGAGCAUAGUCAGGACAAUACUCACAUUCCAUAUUUGAGAGUACCUGGUUCUUGGGGGAUUGGUAUUAAAAAUUCCCCUCAUAAGUUUUGUUACCAGGGGGUGAGUCCCAACAGAAUGACGCUCUGUUCCUUGCCAUAGAUAAGUUGAUAGGGCACUUCUGGUGCAGUUGAUGGCACUAUAACUGAGCCCCUCAUCAUAAUGGAGGCCUGCAAGGAAUUCCAGAACAGACGGGAUGUUCAUUAAUCUGUAGGUGAUGCUGUUUCUGUGACAAUACAGCUCCCAUUUCCUGAUAUAGACCAGAUACUGUUUUUUGGUGGACUGUCUGUGGGCCGCCGGAAUCAUGUUCACUGUUCGGUCCGUCAGUCCCAGCUGUAGUAGAGGUAUUUUUAGACUCUACAAAUUAAUACAUUCAUAUAUGGUGAUACAUGGUUCUAAUACCAUGUUGAGUAUCACAGGGAACCAUGGUUGAGUAGGCCAAUCGGGUACUACCAAAAUACCAGACGCAGAGUCUUGCUGUAUUUUCCUUAAUGCCCAACUGAUGAGGCAGAAAGGAGGGAAUGCAUAAAUAAACAAUUUCCCCCAAUGCAGCGAAAAUGCAUCUGUCGCCGCUGCCCCAGGGUCUGGUUCCCAUGAAACAUAGUUUGAUAACUGGUGAUUAAGCCUGGAUGCGAAUAGAUCGAUAUCUGGUGUUCCAUACCGUGCUGUAAUAUCAGCAAAUACUUUUUUAUUCAACAUCCAUUCGGUGUUUUCAUUAAAUUUGCGUGACCUGGUGUCUGCCACUAAAUUUAGUUUACCUGGUAGGUAAGUAGCUGAUAUCCAAAUAUGUCUCUGGAUACACCAUUGCCAAAUUGUAUUAGCCAGAUUGUCACAUGAUGUUGAUUUGUUUCCACCCAUGUGGUUGAUAUAUGCUACCAUGGUAGUAUUGUCAAUCUGUAGUCUAACAUGCUGGUGAUAUAACCCAGUACAAUAUGACUUUAGGCCAUGGAAUGCAUCCAACAUUUCCAGGUAGUUUAUGCCCAGUGUUUGUAAUAAUGAUGCCUCCUGUGCAGUCCAUCAACCUCCACAGCUGGAGAUGGAAUUGGUGGCACCCCAACCAAGUGCACUGGCAUCCGUUUGUAGCACCAUAGAAGGGUUGCUGAUUAUGAUUGGAUUGAAACAAACCCGAAUGUUAUCUAUCCACCAUUUUAGUUCCAUUAUAGCUUUGAUUGGUAGCUUCAUGGGUCUGUCAAAAUGACCAGCAUUGAUUUUGAGUGCUCGUAUUUUUGCUUUCUGUAAAUUUUGGUAAUGUAAAGGUCCGAAUUGUGUUGGUGGAAAAGCAGCCACCAUUUUGCCAAUUACUUUUGCGACCAAUCUGAUGGACGGUUUACUGAUGUCAAUGAGGUUAUUGCAAGCCUCUAUUAAGUCUAUAGCCUUUCCCUUUGGCAAAGUCACCGACAUGUGAACUGAGUCAAUGGUGAACCCCAAAUAGUCCUUAGUAGUGGAAGGCGUUAAUUUAGAUUUAACUGGAUGGAUAAUAAACCCGUUUUUCAAAUAACUGUUUUGUGGCUGUUACAGUUUUAGUCAAUUCCAAAGUUUUGCCCACAAUACAUAUGUCAUCUAGAUAUGCCAUGACCAUGUGUUUUCGUUUCCAUAGAAAUGCUAGGGCUGGUUUCAAAUUUUUUGUGAACAGCCUGGGGGCUGAUGUUAACUGAUUUGGCAGUGCUCUAUACUGCCAGAGCUGUCCCAUCCAGUUGAAUUUUAAGUAACAUCUGUGGUCACCUCGUAUAGGCACUGAAUAGUAAGCAUCUUUUAAAUUGAUGCUAGCCAUGAAGUAACCUUUGGAAAUCAAUUGUUUUGCAGUAACAAAGGUUUCCAUUUUAAAAUGAAUAUAUUGUACAAAUGUAUUCAAUUUGGUCAACUCUAUGAAGAUGCGACAACCACCAUCUUUUUUGUUUUUGGUAAAGAUAUGGACACGAAUUCUAGCGGUUCCUGUUGGGAUUUUUCAAUUACCCCUUUUGUGUAAAGCCGCUCCAGUUCAGCAUGCGCUUCUGAUUUUUCUUUACCGGAAAGUACGAACAUUCGGUUCGGUACAUUCAAUUCAAUUCAAUUCAAUUCAACUUUAAUGUCAUCGCACAAAUACAAGUAUGAGUACAACGAAAUGCAGUUUUGCGUCAGUCCGUAGUAGUUGUGCAUAAAGAAAUAAAAAAAAUAGAAAGAGAGAAGAUACAGAAUAAUCAAAAAAUACAGAAUAAUUAAACAAUGGGGACGGAGGGAUCGGAGAAAUCUAUCGGCGGGACUCCGAGUUCAGCAAUGUGAUUGUAUUGUUGUGGAAGCUGUUCCUCAUCCUACUAGUACGUGACCUGAGGCUCCUGUACCGCCUCCCUGAUGGGAGGAGGACAAACAGUCCAUGCUGAACUGGAGGGCUGUAUUUGCGUAUAAAUUCUAUGGUAUAUCCCUGGAUACUGCUUAAACAUACUCCAUGCAUCCAGAAAGAAGUGUAAUCUCCCCCCAACCUCCAUGCUCCCUUCAAUUUAUAGGGAACCAGGCCCACCUAUCUCCAUAGUUACCAGUGGCAGGUUUACUUAUUUUUGAAAAUCCUUCGUUGAUGUUGAGGCGUCGGUGUCUGGGUUUGUGGUUGGGUUGGUGUUGGAGGUUUGCGUAUUUUCCAAAAAGGCCGGCCUGGGCCAUGGCCUAAAAAAGACUCAUGUUCGGUGUACCGGACCUUUGAGCUUUCACCAGUUUGUCUUGUUCUACUGGUGGGUGCGUAAGGAUGCAGGUGGAGGCAUUGACAAAGCGACGGUACAGAUCUCAGGCAAAAUUAUGUUUGGCUCAUUCGCCAGUUGCUUAGAGUGAGACUACUGAAAGUGUGGAGAGCGUAGUUUACAUACAAACUCUGAAAGAGAGAUGGAUGCACUACUAGGCAAGAAAAUGGGAGUGGAACUAAUUGGACAGCAAGUUGCAAGCGACAAGAGCUGCACGAUGGACCGAAAUAUCUCUUUCUUGGCCGCUAGAAUUAGUCGAGUUCUGGAAUGAUUUUACUGAUCACGAGGAAGUCUAGCAGUUAUUGAUUCUAUUUUGCCGAUUAGCAAGUAAGACGUCGAGUGACAGGAGUGUCUGGUUUUGAUGUUAAUUGUCCAUUGCGAGCACUUGGCUCAACUAACUACUCGGUCCUCCAUGCUAACACGCUCCCAUCCCACUGGGAAUGCCGGUGAAGUCUUUGGUUGUGCCUCUAUUACCUCUUUCUGGAGCGAAAACGUGACCUUUGUUGACGGAGACGUAUCUGUUGUAUAAAACCUCCAGUCAGAUUUAACAGCAAAGAGGGAGGAGUAUGGCAUCGCGCUCUGCAUAGGGCAGAAGGCAGAGAUCAAAAGACACAGCACGAGCGUCCAACAAGCAAAGCGACGUCGAGAAGACUUUCGUUGCUUCACAGGCGACGUCUUCGGCUUCAAGGACAGCGAUCGUCGCCAAGGCAGCGAGAGCUCCUUUUGGAUACACGAAUAAUGAAGAUACCUGUGCUUAUAAGUGGCAUCCGGCUGGUGGUUGCUGAGUGCCGCAGUGAGCUAAGAAUACUUCGAAAUGGUGAUCCGCUUCGAUUCCCACACGGUAACGCUGUUCGUGGUCUUCAACGUUCUCUGGUCUCAGGAAUCAGCCUUCCCAGAGCUGGGAAGCUACCCUAGUUCAAGAAUCUUUGGACCACAUCCUACUUAACUACUGGACUGAAAACUACAUACAGCCUUUUUUCAACUGUUAAUCAGCAGUGAAAGCUUAUCAGCAUCAAACCCCAAUCCAACAUGUGGUGAAGGGAAUGUUGUGGUGACCCAUUUGGUUCCACAUAAAUGAGAGUCUGAUGUUUACGCACUGUAAAUAACAUCUCUCUGCAAUGUUAGAAACCCCUGUACUCCUUAUACCUAAUAAAUUUAUUGCAAGCAGCAUGUGAAGUUCACAUUAUAUCAAUUGUAAACGUCAUUGUGUUCAACAGUCUUAAUGAAAUAUCCAAUUCACUCUCUAGAGGACGAAAUGUGUAAAAUUUAGAAAGAGAUUCAGCAUAUAA
Leucoraja erinaceus (little skate) is the source of this 4642-nucleotide long non-coding RNA. RefSeq lists it as uncharacterized. NCBI's taxonomy places the organism in Eukaryota, Metazoa, Chordata, Chondrichthyes, Rajiformes, Rajidae. The transcript has 4 exons. The record is from RefSeq and is a predicted model, not a curated record.